This is a long non-coding RNA of Eriocheir sinensis (Chinese mitten crab), 739 nucleotides long. RefSeq lists it as uncharacterized. Lineage: Eukaryota; Metazoa; Arthropoda; Malacostraca; Decapoda; Varunidae. The transcript is spliced from 4 exons. The record is from RefSeq and is a predicted model, not a curated record.
CUGGUGGCGGGAUGGUACACUAAACUCCCUACAGUUGCCAGGUAGACAUAUGGGCUCCAUUAAUAACAUCCCGGCCACCUCACUCCCCGCCUCCUCCCCUCCCACACCGGCCUCCCUCACGGCGCUUCCCUCCCCAGUCGUCGUCCCGCUCGUGAAAGGGCACGGCGGCGGCGCAGCGGAGGGGUGAAACGGAGCGGUGUGCCUCGGUAGCGCCCACCCGAUCCCAGCACCACGCGAACACCGCCACCAAGAGUCCCUCAGUGCCGUGACCUGCCGGCUUCGGAUGUUCGGUUGACGGAGCGCGGGCGUCACUCCCUCGAGGAAACAAGGGUGGAGCGUUAUGGAUAAUCAUUGGAAAACCGUCCCCAGCCUCGUUUCGUCUUCGCGUCACCUCGGUUCGUUGCUGUCUGUCUCGCUCCUUCUGACCAUUUGCAGGGAGAAGACAGGACUGGCCCUUGAGGAGACUAGGAUCUCCCUAACCCUGAAGUACCCAGCGUGGAGGAAUGAAGCCAGACGUUCCCUCCCCUGCUGGACACCGCUUGAGUCUUCACCAACUCGACCCUUGCAUCAAGCGAGUCAUGACACCACGUGCUGCAGCCUGCGAAGACACUGAAAAGUAACACUUUACCCUUAAAGUGAGUCAUGCAAAUGAACUCUACUUCUACGACUGGUGUCACUGUACACUCCUCCUUUAGUGCGAAAGCAGAUGUAGGUCUAAUAUAAAAUGUUGCUUACCAUA